CAAGAGCGUAUAUUAAAGUUGCUGCGGUUAAAAAGCUCGUAGUUGGAUUUCAGUCUAGGAAGGUUAACUCGCCGAAAGGUUGUACGUUGAUUUUCCUCAGACUUCGUCAGAAGCUCGUGCUGCACUUAACUGUGUGGUACGAUGUUCUGACCUUUUACCUUGAGGAAAGUAGAGUGUUUCAGGCAGGCUACCCAGCUUGAAUACAUUAGCAUGGAAUAAUGAAAUGGAUCUCGGUUCGAUUUCGUUGGUUCUAGAGCUGAGGUGAUGAUCAAUAGGAACAGGCGAAGGUAUUCGUACUUGAGAGUGAGGAGUGGAAUCCGAUGAUCUCUUAAAGACGAUCCGAGGCGAAAGCAUUUGUCAAGGAUGUUUUCAUUGA
This 376-nucleotide ribosomal RNA is filed under the name uncultured eukaryote. RNAcentral describes it as "partial 18S ribosomal RNA". It matches the Rfam family "Eukaryotic small subunit ribosomal RNA", at positions 592 to 976 of the family's 1831-position model. The record is from RNAcentral.